RNAcentral lists this transfer RNA (73 nucleotides) under Paramuricea clavata. It matches the Rfam family "tRNA". Rfam says of the family: Transfer RNA (tRNA) molecules are approximately 80 nucleotides in length. The record is from Rfam by way of RNAcentral. Lineage: Eukaryota; Metazoa; Cnidaria; Anthozoa; Malacalcyonacea; Plexauridae.
GACCGCGUAGCUCAGUUGGAAAAGCAUUGAGCUAGUAUUCCAAAGGUCGUAGGUUCGAAUCCCGCCGUGGCCA